GACGAACGCUGGCGGCGUGCCUAAUACAUGCAAGUAGAACGCACAGUUUAUACCGUAGCUUGCUACACCAUAAACUGUGAGUUGCGAACGGGUGAGUAACGCGUAGGUAACCUGCCUGGUAGCGGGGGAUAACUAUUGGAAACGAUAGCUAAUACCGCAUAAUAUUAAUUAUUGCAUGAUAAUUGAUUGAAAGAUGCAAUUGCAUCACUACCAGAUGGACCUGCGUUGUAUUAGCUAGUAGGGGAGGUAACGGCUCACCUAGGCGACGAUACAUAGCCGAACGGAGUGGGUGAGCGGCCACACUGAGACUGAGACACGCCCCAGACGCCUACAGGAGGCAGCAGUAGUGAAUCUGCGGCAAGGGACGGAAGUCUGUGCGAGCAACGCCGAGUGAGUGAAGAGGGUUGUCGGGUCGGAGAGCUCUGUUGUAAGAGUAUAACGGGUGUGAGCGUGGAAAGUUCACAGUGUGACGGUAACUGACCAGAAAGCGACGGCUAACUACGUG
Molecule: ribosomal RNA, 505 nt
Filed under: uncultured bacterium
Lineage: Bacteria
Description: partial 16S ribosomal RNA
Rfam family: Bacterial small subunit ribosomal RNA
Source: RNAcentral